GUGCUUGCUUCGGCAGCACAUAUACUAAAAUUGGAACGAUAGAGAAGAUUAGCAUGGCCCCUGUGCAAGAAUGAUACGCAAAUUCGUGAAGUGUUCCAUAUUAAA
RNAcentral lists this small nuclear RNA (105 nucleotides) under Ovis aries (sheep). Lineage: Eukaryota; Metazoa; Chordata; Mammalia; Artiodactyla; Bovidae. The record is from RNAcentral.